This 496-nucleotide ribosomal RNA is filed under the name uncultured bacterium. RNAcentral describes it as "partial 16S ribosomal RNA". It matches the Rfam family "Bacterial small subunit ribosomal RNA", at positions 28 to 506 of the family's 1533-position model. The record is from RNAcentral.
GAUGAACGCUGGCGGCGUGCCUAAUACAUGCAAGUCGAGCGAACGGACGAGAAGCUUGCUUCUCUGAUGUUAGCGGCGGACGGGUGAGUAACACGUGGAUAACCUACCUAUAAGACUGGGAUAACUUCGGGAAACCGGAGCUAAUACCGGAUAAUAUUUUGAACCGCAUGGUUCAAAAGUGAAAGACGGUCUUGCUGUCACUUAUAGAUGGAUCCGCGCUGCAUUAGCUAGUUGGUAAGGUAACGGCUUACCAAGGCAACGAUGCAUAGCCGACCUGAGAGGGGGAACGGCCCCACAGAAACUGACAACCGACCCAGACUCCUACGGGGGGCAGCAGAAGGGAACUUUCCGGAAUGGGCGAAAGCAUGCAGGGGGAACGCCGCGUAGGGGAUGAAGGUUUUCGGAUUAAAAAACUUUUUUAUUGGGGAAGAACAUUUGUAUAAGUAACUGUGCACAUUUUGCCGGUCCCUACGCAAAAAGCCACGGCAAACUCGGG